This 800-nucleotide long non-coding RNA is filed under the name Coturnix japonica (Japanese quail). RNAcentral describes it as "lncRNA (ENSCJPG00005011504.1)". The record is from RNAcentral. Lineage: Eukaryota; Metazoa; Chordata; Aves; Galliformes; Phasianidae.
GUGGCUUAGCAGAGCUGACACAUGAAAGGACUGCAGUGGUAUGUGAACCAGGUUCAGGCUUGAAACCGUUUCUGUAGUUCAGUCCCAGAGAGCUGGAAUGAACAUUAACUCAGAAUUCAAUUACUCCCUCAUAAGCUCCAGUAGAGAUCCACUGGGAGACACUAUUACUAAACAAGAACACAAUGCUGCCCUUCUGGGGACAUCAUAGUAGGACACGCUUGUCCUCCUAAGCAUGCAUGUGUGGAUGGAAAACGUAAAAGACCUCCAGAUCUCAGCAGUGUGUUGUGUAAGCUUAUUGAAAGCUCUUCCCAUCCUUUCUAGAAACUUGGGAGCAAGUCCUGGUCCCAUAUGAACUGGUGGGAUCAGUUUCCUAAGCAUAUAGAAGCAUGCCCUGGGGAAUGUUCAUGCUGGAAAGGAAAAGGGUAGAGUAGGAUAAACAUAGAGGUCUUUAUUUUAUAGAAGGCAGUUUUUAGCUUCUAUGGGCAAGAGAUUUUCUAUUUACCUGUCCUUUGAUGGAGCAGAAACAAAAAUGAAGAAAAACAAUCUGCAGAUUGCUAAGUCUUUUUUUGGUAUGUGUCUUUCAGUGUAUCAGUUGGGGGAAGAACACAGACUAUCUUUACAGCACUGUAGAAGAAUAAUCUGCUUUUGGCCACAACUUGGAGUGUCUGAAGCUUCAGAUAUAAAGUACUCUAAGUGAAUGACCAUAUCUGCUAAUUAAUUGAGCCUUGAAAGACCAGAAUUCAUUCUGGCUAUGGUGGCUGUCUUCUUUAUCACUUCGUCUCAGUAAGCUGUUACUCCAG